UACGAAGGGGGCUAGCGUUGCUCGGAAUUACUGGGCGUAAAGCGCACGUAGGCGGCUCUUUAAGUCGGAGGUGAAAUCCUGGAGCUCAACUCCAGAACUGCCUUCGAUACUGUAGAGCUUGAGUUCGGGAGAGGUGAGUGGAACUGCGAGUGUAGAGGUGAAAUGCUUAGAUAUGACAUAGAACACCCAUUGCGAAGGCAGCUAACUACGCGAUAAUUGACGCUGAUGCACGAAAGCGUGGGGAUCAAACAGG
Molecule: ribosomal RNA, 253 nt
Filed under: uncultured bacterium
Lineage: Bacteria
Description: partial 16S ribosomal RNA
Rfam family: Bacterial small subunit ribosomal RNA
Source: RNAcentral